This 301-nucleotide ribosomal RNA is filed under the name Gryllacrididae sp. RCP-2008. RNAcentral describes it as "eukaryotic LSU rRNA". It matches the Rfam family "Eukaryotic large subunit ribosomal RNA", at positions 685 to 952 of the family's 3401-position model. The record is from RNAcentral. Lineage: Eukaryota; Metazoa; Arthropoda; Insecta; Orthoptera; Gryllacrididae.
CGCGAGUCAUUGGGUUGUCAACCUAAAGGCGCAAUGAAAGUGAAGGUCUCGCCUCGUGCGGGCCGAGGGAAGAUGGGGUUUUGCGUUUGUCGCUGCCCCCGCAUUCCCGGGGCGUCUCGUUCUCAUUGCGAGUUGAGGCGCACCCAGAGCGUACACGUUGGGACCCGAAAGAUGGUGAACUAUGCCUGGCCAGGACGAAGUCAGGGGAAACCCUGAUGGAGGUCCGUAGCGAUUCUGACGUGCAAAUCGAUCGUCGGAGCUGGGUAUAGGGGCGAAAGACUAAUCGAACCAUCUAGUAGCU